Non-coding RNA from Solanum lycopersicum (tomato), 504 nucleotides. The record is from RefSeq and is a predicted model, not a curated record. Lineage: Eukaryota; Viridiplantae; Streptophyta; Magnoliopsida; Solanales; Solanaceae.
CGCCGCCACGUGCGACGCCGGAAAAUCGCCGACCGGAAAAACGUAGAAGUCAGGCACUCGACCAAAGCUCAGUGAACAGAUUUCUUCUCAGCCCUAAGGAAUACAGUAAUACUAAUUUACGUAAAAAGUAAAAUUAUAUACAUAGACAACUAAAACGACAUGAUUCACGCAUCCCAGUCCCAAAGGUCAUAAAUGAUGUUUGUCACUGUGUGUUGCCAAUGAAACCCAUCAAUAAUUGUUCGAUGCAAUUUAAUGUGUAUGUUUUUUGGGUUGAAAGUGACAACUAUAAUAUAGUCUUCAUUUGCAAUAAAUAAAGUUAAAUUGAAAGAGGUCCUCAUCAAUGUACAUCCCAGCAUCAGUCAUCACUCAUCAGCCCCACCGGCUCUGCUUCAACUUAGAAAGAGACUUCAGAUGGAUAAGAAUUAACUCGCUACUAUCGAUUCAUUUUAGUUAUCGUGUUUAUUAAAUUUAAUUUAUUUAAAAUAAUUAUCAUUUGGCGACUUA